GCAAGAGGGUGUCAUCAGGAUGCAACAGCUUUGAAAAUGAGGGGAGAAUAGGGUGGGAAUUGUCCCCCCCUCAUGAGAUCUCUAUCACUCACAAGCAUUCCCAAAGUGACUGUUUCCUAUCACUUCCCAAUUGCCAAGAAAUCCCCUCCUGCUGCUGCAAGAAGCGUGACAGCUCCUACCAACUGUCUCCUCAUGGCAGGUAAAAGCAAGUGGUUCUGAAGGGGCAGGUGCUGUUACCUGGCUCAGCUGAGAAAAUUGCUCGGCGCUGCAGCAGUUUGUGUCGUGAUGAUCAACUCCCCAGCUGGGAAAACAAUGGUUCAAUAGGGAAUUACAGAGGUGGAACAGAGUGAAGAUGGGCGGUGAUGGCUGGACAUCAUGUGAAGAUCUCCACAGGCAGAAAUAUGGAAAUUAUAGCAUAUUUUCCACUAUGCAAAGGGCAGGAUUCCCGUGCAGCGUUGGCAUAUGCAGAGCAGCUGGGAAAGGUGGGGAUGGAACGUACCACGCUGUCACUUCUGGGGAAAGCAGCCAAAUGCACUGACAGUUCUCAUGUAGGCUGGCUCCAAACCAAAUGGCUUCCCAGCAGGAUUUCCAAAUUACUACCUUGACCACUGCAUGUGCUUCUUCCACAGUCUGAAAAUCCAUGUAUGUAAAUGAACAUUCCUUCAUUGUACCAGGAUAAUUAAUUUCUGCCCUAAAGUGCCGCUUUCCAGUUCACAUUUCUCUGGUCCCUGUGAGGAUCUAAACAAGACUGAGAAGCCUCAGGCCUCACCCUGCCUGCAUCAAGAGCUGUUGAACUGCUUGUGAAUCCUCUCCCAAACCUUGGAAGGGGCACCUCCACAGGCCAGAGCUUUGCAGAGCCCAUCCAAAUUGCAUUGCGGGGAUGAAGGGCAUCCAAGGGCUUGCUUAAAGUGCUGCUGAAAUGUGGUCUCCUCUGGAAUGAAACACAAUCAGUGAUUAACAACAUGCACAAUUAGCCUUUUAAAGUCCAGCUCGAGGAGAAAUUGCAGACAGGAGCAGUCAUGGCAUGAGGAGGGCAGAGCAUCUGGCUCCGGAUCACUGCUGAAUUAGGUGUCGGAGCAGCCUGGAUCCUAACAGCCAUGUUAAACCAGGUGCACUGCUGUUUUCCUAUCAACAGGGAUUACAUUGGUUAAAACCAUUUAUUUGAUACUGACUAAUCGAGGAAGGCCCAGAGGAGCUGGGAAAUGAAAGGGGUAAUCAGAUAUUCCAGAGCUCUCCCACUCAGAGCACGCACACGAAAUCUUCAAAGCCAACGCAGUGCAGGUGCAUAUUCCCAAAUGCAGACUGGGUUGGCAAAGGACUCCGUUUUCCAUGGGAGCUACUGUGUCCACAAAGAACUUCCCGGGCUCCAGCUGCCAUCUCGUGGUCAUAUGAGACAUCUCCCUAUUUUUUUCCCCUUCUGAUUACCACUGUUCGUGGCCCAAGCAGUACUUUUCCAGGAUUGGAAAUGUCGAAAAUUUAUGGGAAGUGUUUUCCUCGGGAAAGCCCUGGUCAAAAGCAUCAUAUUCCCAAAUUGCAGUGGGUUUGACCUUCUCACCACACAUUAGAGAGGAUACUUGGUUUUCCGUCGUUUGGAAAACAGUGACCUUAGGAAAAGGUGGACUCCAAGGGAGGGGAGGUGUUUAACAUCACUCUUUGUCCUUGAAACCUCCAGGAAUUUUAAGCAGUGUUUAGCAGCACACUCAGGUUUGAACUUUGCUGCUGUCUUCCUCGGACUCCUGGUUGACACCUUCUGGCCCACCACCCCAGAAGAAAGCUCCAGAAGGCUGUAGGAUCUGCAAAGCUGGUCCAGCUACAGCAUAUGGCAGUCCCUCCAAGCUGGUGGCUCUGUUGUCUCUUUCCUCUGAGCACUUGCUCCAGCCCUGCUCCGUGCAGGAGAUCCCCGAGCCAUCUGCAGCCCCAGGAAAUCCAGUGAAGCUUUGAAGAGGAUCAGAGUCCAUCUGCACAGAACAGCUUGUGGUACAGAGAGUCCCAGGGUAACAUCUUGGCCCCAGGGAAGAUGAUGGGAGUUUGGCUGGUUUUGAAACAGGACCAAGGUUUUUUUUCCAAUGUGAUUCAGUGUGUCAGCAGGACUUACAGAUGCUCAUGGGGCUGCUCUGCGCAUAAAAUAAGGCUCAUUUAGAAGGGACCUUAAAUACUAUUUCAUUCCACCCCGUGCCACGGGCAGAGACACCUUCCA
Long non-coding RNA from Corapipo altera (White-ruffed manakin), 2197 nucleotides. RefSeq lists it as uncharacterized. NCBI's taxonomy places the organism in Eukaryota, Metazoa, Chordata, Aves, Passeriformes, Pipridae. The transcript is spliced from 3 exons. The record is from RefSeq and is a predicted model, not a curated record.